UACAGAGGGGGCAAGCGUUGUUCGGAAUUACUGGGCGUAAAGGGCUCGUAGGCGGCCAACUAAGUCGGAUGUGAAAUCCCCAGGCUCAACCUGGGAACUGCAUCCGAUACUGGAUGGCUUGAAUCCGGGAGAGGGAUGCAGAAUUCCAGGUGUAGCGGUGAAAUGCGUAGAUAUCUGGAGGAAUACCGGUGGCGAAGGCGGCAUCCUGGACCGGCAUUGACGCUGAGGAGCGAAAGCUAGGGGAGCAAACGGG
RNAcentral lists this ribosomal RNA (253 nucleotides) under uncultured bacterium. RNAcentral's name for it is "partial 16S ribosomal RNA". It matches the Rfam family "Bacterial small subunit ribosomal RNA", at positions 524 to 776 of the family's 1533-position model. The record is from RNAcentral.